This 769-nucleotide ribosomal RNA is filed under the name uncultured beta proteobacterium. Its description in RNAcentral is "bacterial SSU rRNA". It matches the Rfam family "Bacterial small subunit ribosomal RNA", at positions 57 to 823 of the family's 1533-position model. The record is from RNAcentral. Lineage: Bacteria; Pseudomonadati; Pseudomonadota; Betaproteobacteria.
GCAGUCGAGCGGCAGCGCGGGGCAACCUGGCGGCGAGCGGCGAACGGGUGAGUAAUGCAUCGGAACAUGUCCAUGUCGUGGGGGAUAGCCCGGCGAAAGCCGGAUUAAUACCGCAUACGCCCGAGAGGGGAAAGUGGGGGACCGCAAGGCCUCACGCGAUUGGGUUGGCCGAUGUCCGAUUAGCUAGUUGGCGGGGUAAAGGCCCACCAAGGCGAUGAUCGGUAGCUGGUCUGAGAGGAUGAUCAGCCACACUGGGACUGAGACACGGCCCAGACUCCUACGGGAGGCAGCAGUGGGGAAUUUUGGACAAUGGGGGCAACCCUGAUCCAGCCAUUCCGCGUGAGUGAAGAAGGCCUUCGGGUUGUAAAGCUCUUUUGUCCGGAACGAAACGCGGCGCGUGAAUAUCGCGCCGUAAUGACGGUACCGGAAGAAUAAGCACCGGCUAACUACGUGCCAGCAGCCGCGGUAAUACGUAGGGUGCGAGCGUUAAUCGGAAUUACUGGGCGUAAAGCGUGCGCAGGCGGUUUUGUAAGCCAGAUGUGAAAUCCCCGGGCUUAACCUGGGAAUGGCAUUUGGGACUGCAAGGCUGGAGUGCGGCAGAGGAGACUGGAAUUCCUGGUGUAGCAGUGAAAUGCGUAGAUAUCAGGAGGAACACCGAUGGCGAAGGCAGGUCUCUGGGCUGACACUGACGCUCAUGCACGAAAGCGUGGGGAGCAAACAGGAUUAGAUACCCUGGUAGUCCACGCCCUAAACGAUGUCGACUGGUUGU